UGCGCUUUGGAGGAUAGUGGCAGAACCACUGAGCCAAAUCCCCAGCCCAUCAGGGCUUCUUAAAACAGCAGUAAGAACUAAUAAUAGCUGGAGUUCUCAGUGUGUGUGAAACAAUGGAUUUUCUCAUUUAAUAAUCACGAUUCAAUGAAGCUGGCAUCACUUGCUUCUGUCUUACAAACAGUAGCUUAUAGUCAGAGCCGUAGUUCUUCAGAAUACUGACAACCCACUGACUCGCGAAAAGUUUUGCACGUGGGCAUUCUAUCAAGUCCCUGCGGAAGAGCAGUGCUGUGAAGUGAUUUUCUAGAAGUGAUGUGGGGAUGAGACAGGCUGUUGCCAAGGGCUCUUGCCUAGGCAGGGGCUGGCUCUUCUCUGGCUUCGUUUCUCACAUCUCUGGAGGCUCCCGGUGUGGCUGCAAGGCCACUGGCUGAAAGCGCCAUCUGCAAGAUUUCAGGUCCAACCGCGCAGGUACCUGUGGCUCUCCGCGCCCUUGCUGGUGGAAGGAUUCGUGUUCUUCAGAAGGAAGCGAGGUGAAGACCGAGGCCACGCUGCUGUUCUUGCUAAAUCUUAAGACCUUAACUUUCAGAAGCAUUUCAGAAAUGUUUCCUAAACAUUUACAAGAAACAAGAGGUAUUUUGAUAGGCUUAUAAACCUCAUUCGGUUUUCACAAAUACUGGUUACUGGUUUACUACACCAGUAGGAAUUUCAUGUGCUAUAAAGUCAAAGGCCAAAAUAGUUCAGGACAGCUACGGCUCUAAUGAAGACUUCGGAGUGCGGGGAACACACUGCGCCAUUUAUGGUGUUCUUUAGACACAGCUGAGCCGCUCCAGUUUCAUUUUUUAAGAGAGGAGCUCAAUAUGGAAAACGUAGAGAAGCCUGGAUUCAUUACCGACGACUGCAGGCGCGCAGGGGAGGCGAUGACCAAGCGCGAGUGCCAUGGUCUCCAGAGCGAGGCCACGCUCCGCUCGCUACUGACGUGGCAGCCGUCUCUGCUCAUGCUCUUGAUGCGCUCUGUCCUGUGGCAUGCAAAGCACGCACAUGCACGUAUACACAUUCAUGCCAGUGAGAGCCUGGUAGCGUAUUCUCUUUUGUACCAGUCUUUCCAUACAUGUUUUCGCUUGUGUACUCGUAUUUCUGCUUUUCCUCUUUUCCUCCUCUUCCUCUCCUCGGCCUUCUCCCUCCUCUCCCCUUCUUCAUGGAACGCUCCCUAUAGGCAUCUUCCCCACAGUUCCCUUGGACUUCAUGUUCCCCCUAACCCAGGAGGAACACGCCCAGAAGACAAUGAAGCUGGUUUAGGUGGCCUUCUGUACUAAUCUGUGCAAUUAAAAGCCACAAGGAGACAUAUUAGUGCUGCUUGAUUUUGGUUUUCCAUUGUGUACUUUUAAAGGGACUCUCAGCCGUUGGAUGUUUGUUGUGAAAAUUGUGAAAUAAGACAUUAGCAUUAAAUUCCCCCUCCUUUUUCUUCUUCCUUCUUUAUUUCUCCUCUUCCUUGUUUGCUUUUUAUAUAGCUUCCUUCCCUUUAGCUUUAUCUCCCUCUCUGGGCGCUAGAGGUAGUGGGAGAUCUUCCCCGGACUCACAAAUGUCUCCGAGCGUGAUCACAUUAGAAGUCUCCUUUGGUCCUCAGUAUUGAUCAGACAGAUUUUCCAGUGACCUUCGUAAUUAUAUAAAGCCUGUUUGUAUGGGGUUUACCAUGUUUUGGUGUAUCUCCUCCCUCGGCUCCCACUGGUGGGUGUGUAUGACCCCGAAGGGCUGUGGGGAGAGAGUAUGAGAACCUGGGUUUGAGUUUCUUCUCUGCCACUUACUAAGUCUCUGACCUUGGACAUUAAUUGGAUCUUCCUGAGCAUCUAUUUAUUUAUCUAUAUAGUGAGGAUAGUAAUAUUUAACUCAUGUAUUUGUACUGAUUAAGGGAGAUAGAUUCAGUUGACAAAAAGUUUGUUGUACAUUGUAAAGUCCUAGUCAAUAUGUAGGUUGUGAUAAUAGCAGGAGUAACAAUUCAACCGAAAAACAUCUUGUUGGAAGACAGACUUUUUCACAGGACACAGGCUGUUUUAAGUAGUAUAAUAUAGUUAGACCCCAAUUUUCUUAGCCAUCUCCUAAGUUUGGGCAAUCGAGUCUGUGUGUCUAGCAGUAGCACUGCAGUGGUGUGUUUUCACCAAGCUGUCUCCCUCUCUGAACCUCUCUUGGGGACUGUGUUGCAGACUCGACCACUCUCUUGCAGGGCUGCUCUCUAAGGGCUAUGGUCUGUUCUUGCUGCUGCUGUGUCUUUGGAGAGUCCUGUUUGCCCUUCUGUCUGGACUCCAGAAUGGUCUCCAGAGAGAACUUGAGGCAAGAGUGGGGUUGCAAGCAUCAGCAUAAACUUCCCCCGGUGUCGGGUGGUGGAGCAGCCUAGUGUGCCCCUUUGCUCUGGAGAUCUCUGUGCAGGGGCUGCAGUCUGUGCCUGGGGUGGGGAUGGGCAGAACCGAGGGUCCACUGGGUCUCUAGGUAUGUGUUCCUGCCUCAAGUCUUGGACGGCGCCGGGGCUCUCAGGAUGACACUUGAGUCAUGACUCAGCCUUGGACGAAGAGCAGUUGGCCUGCAGCUCCCUCAGCCCCCAGAGUUGCCUGCGAAGUGAAGAGUGCAGCAGCAGCCUGAAGGCUGUUUGCAGUGCUGGCUUUGAGUGGAUGGCCUGCGAACUGUUAGAGAAGACCCAAAGCCCUCCUCCCCGGGCGGAUAUCACCUUCUUCCUUUGGCUUUUAUGAAGAACCUGAUCCCGUUUGCCUAGAUGGAGCCAAACAACCUGGGCCUCAGAGAAGGCCGAGGGCCGCAGAAGUCCCACAGCAGCGCCUGGUUUUGAUGUACUGCUGAAGGGUGUGAGCACGCUUAUGGAACGAGGUCACUUUUGCCAGUUUGAGAGAAAGGUCAUGUUUUUAAUUUAACUUAAUUUCCUAUACCAAAGAGAAUUUUCAAGAGAAUAUUUGACUUUUGCACCUUUAAUGAGACCAGAUGCUCUGGGGCCUACAGCAAUGAAGAGAAAACAGAUUUUGCAGUUUACACUUCUACUUUGUGCCGCUUCUACAUGGAGCGCAUGCGCGUUCUUAAGGGGAUCUGCUUCCUGGACUCCCUGUGGUUUAGACUCCAAGCCCUGCUCUGCCUGGGAAGCCAGUCGCUGUUAUCACCACUGGGGGCGUCAGUUUGCUGCAACUCCAUCAAACAGCCCAUCACUUCCACUUCACAGCGAAGAGGACGGAGGCUCACAGAGGUUAGGAUGCUGGUCCAGAGUCCCGCUGAGUGGACUCACAGGCAGAAUUUCCAUUCAGACAGCUGGAGGCUGCAGCCUGGACCCUCUACCACCGUCCUAUGUGACCUUUCUCUCCUCCUGAAGCAGAGGACUCUUCCUUGUUCCCUUCAGCCCCACUGUGCUUUUUCCAUGGCAUUGCUCUGCCCCACUCCAAGUCCACUGUGAGUGAGAUGCUCCUUUGGGCUUUGGUAAAAUCCAGGGACACGUUAAACACCUUCAUUAGAGCUCAUUCCAUGGAAUGGUUUGACUCCUGGUCGAAUGUUGGGAUUCUCCUGUAAUUCGCAUGCUGAAGCCCUAAGCCCAGUGUGACUGUGAAUGGACUUAAGGUCCUUGUGGAGAAAGUGAAGGUUAAGGGUCAUAAGGUAGGAUCCUGGCCCAAUAGGAUCUGUGCCAUAAUAAGAAGAGACACCAUCAGGGUUUUCUCUCCAUUUUACCACAUGAGCAUACUGCAACACUGUGGCUGCCUUGAAGCCAGGAGGAAACCAAACCAACAGGACCUCGGUCUGGGCCUUUCAGGCAUCAGAACUCGGAGAAAAUCUAUGUGUGCUGUUUUAGCUACCUGGCCUAUGACUGUCUGUUAUAGUAGGCCAGAAGGCCAAGGUGAGGUCAUUCUCUGCUGAAUGCGACCCCCUGCAGGUGCAGGAGACUUUAUGGGAGGGAGUAGGAGUUUCUCACUGGCCCUGCCUCUCCGCCGUUCCGAGUGGCACUCACAGACCAAACACCUGGCAUGCAGAGGGCCCUGGAAGGGUGUGGGUCCUGCAAGCAGCUGUAGGUGCACCCAGAGCAGCCUUGCACCCCGCUGCUCCGCACAGCUCACCUGUGCUCAAGCUGGAUGGGAGCCGGCUCUCCUGCACAUCGCCCCGCGGGCCGCUGAUUCACUAGCUUCUGGCAGAGGGCUUGGCGGCCUGCUGUCUCCUUGGGCUCUCGUAAAGUGGCCUCCUCCCCUUGCUCUGACGCGGCAGUCGCCCUGCUGGCUGCUGAGGCAAAAUUUACGACAAGGAUUCCUCAGAUUAGGAGGGGUGGGAUGUGUCCCUCCGCCUGCAGUGUGCGGAACGCAGUCCACAGCACCACAGCCCCUGUGACUGCUGAGCAAGCCCCCUUGGUCACGCUUGACACUUCUGACUUGAGAAGUCACCUGAAAGUAUUUUGAUUCCCCAAGAAGUAACUUCAGUUUUUUUCGGAGCUGAGUCCGAAGUUUACUCUUUCAGGUCCUGCUUGGUCUCAUGGCUACGUCUAGGCAGGGCCUGGAAGUGCCAAGCAGAGCCGUUUCCCAAGUUGCUCUUUAGCAGACCCAAAGGCCUCCCCCACCCCGCUCCUCUCCUAAGACAGAAAUGUCCUCACCGCCCAGCCGCCCUCACUCGGUCUCACAUUUCAUCACUAGAAAGUUCUUCACGCGCGGUCAGUGUUUACUUCCCCUUUCUUUUGGACCCACUGACUGUUACUUUGCCAUCUUGCCAGUAACUCAAGAAGAAAAGCUUUGGCCCAUCUGUCACAGAGCAGCUUCUGGCGAACUUGAAGAUAGCAGUGGGUUGUCGAAACACCCCUCAAAAUGUCGCUCUUCUGUGCUGAGUAGAUGUAAACAGGGGCACAGGGCUACCGGGUCCAAGGUGUCAGGAGCUGUGUUCACGGAGACCAAGGCCUGUGUCAUGAGCUGGCCCUGUCCUGCAAGAGCGUGGCACAGCCCCUGGCCUUGGCACUCACAGGGUACUCAGAGAUGUUCUGGGCUCUCUUGUCCUGCUGGACCAACUUGGUGCUUCUUAUGGCUGGAUUCAAAGUUGUCCCCAAAAUGCUCCUUGUGUUGAGUGUGUGGUUCCUGGUGGGUUGUUGGGCAGGGCUGCGAGGGCUGUACCUUCAGUGGAUUCAUGUACUGAAGAGAUCGCGAUUUGACAGCGUUAUUUGGAUGUGAUGGAGUAGGAUUGGGGACGAUAAUUAGUCCCCAGCCCUUUCUCUCUUGCUUUCGCAUGGUUUCCCACUACAAUUCUCAACUGUUAGAGGUGAGUGGCUUUCUCCACCGGGCCCUUCCUCUAUCACAUUUCUGCCUCAGAGCAGCUGACCAUGAACUGAAACCUCCGAAACCACAAACCUUUAAACUGGGUGUGUCAGGUAUUUUGUCACAGCAGUGGAAAAUCUGAUUAGGAGAACUUUUGGAACUGUUACCCCCGAAGGCAUGCCAUCAAGCAUAAUGGAUUAGGUGAAAAAGAUCACCUUUUCUCUGCCUCUGACAGGGGUUAAAGGAGAGCACUGUCUAUCUUUGUGAUGCAUCUAGCAUAAAAGGCACCUUUUUGGAUUAUAGUUACCCGUUCAUACAUUUAUUUUCCUUAUUAGACUCUGAGUUCCUGUGUAGGAGAUGCUACACGUUAUUCUUCAUGCUUUUUCAGAGACAGCAGAGCAUGUCAUUCGGUGGCUGUAAAAUGAGCAGUGUCUUUUGUGUUCAUGUUUAUUUGAUGUUCUUGGGUGGAGAUGCGGUGUGGGGAAAAUGUGGCACCUGCUCUCAUGAAGACCCCGGUACAGACUUCCGGAGAUGUGCUCAGUAGCUGGAGGAUUUUGAAAAGCUGGUUUGGGGGAGGCAGUACACUUAAGAAAGGACACUUACCACCUCCCAGGUUCUUCUGUGCCCCAGAAGAAGAGUGUGGCCCUAUGGCAAGACCUAUAAGAAUGUGUACCUAUUUCUGGAAAGGUUAGAUUUGUAGGGGUCAUUGGAGGCACUGAGAGCCCAGUGUUUUGCUGGACCUAGCUUCCAGGGAGGCCCAGUAUUCCUGAAGCACAGCCAUCAAGUUUUUGAGCACAUGAAGAUCUGUGGGUGGACUUUUUGAAGAUCACAAAGCCUUUGCUGGGUCAACUGCUCAGAGAUACAAAUGUAAGGGACCUACUUGAGAAAACCAGGCAUGAGGGAAACAUUUGAGUUAAGCAAUGAGAGAGAGGGGAAAAGAAAAGAAUAAGGAGCGUGACACUUUCCAGAAGAGGGAGGGAGGGAGGGAGGGAGAGUGAACUCUUGAGCAGGAGGGUUUCAGCUCUGCUCUCGUGUGCCUUUCAGGGGGCUGACAAGGGCGUGGAUCCCGAAAGCAUCCUCCCGCUCAUCAGGGUCAGCAAGCCCUCCCCUGCCGCAGUCUCUGUGGUCCCUUCCUGUGCCCAGAGAGUGGCAGAGCUGGGCUUUGGCUUCUGUUCUUCUGACCCUUUGUCCUUUGCUUUGCCGCAGAAACACACAUAUCCUUCUCUUGUUUUCCUUGGUUACCUGGCAUACGCGCUGCGCUUUUUAUGUGGCUCUGGUCAGACAAUCCUGGUCACGGGGCUGAGGGAAGGCCACCAGACUUCAGCUCCAUUUAAGACAACAAAGCAAAGCAACCUCAAUUUUUGGUUCACCACUCCUCCGCACCUCUUCCCUGAUUUUUUCCAGAAUACCUCUAACUCAUUUUUGUGGUAUUUUAUAAACUCAGCUUGAGGCUGAAUUCAUAAAAAUAUUUAGAAGCUACCUUACUUUUAUAAUUAAAGAUGAAAUGACUCAUCCAACCUCUUUCUCGCUCUACAAAUAGUCUGGCAGUAAAACAAAUCUCUGCUAUUAAGUGGUAUUUAUUUAAUUAUGAUUUGCUGUAGAGCCGUUUAAGAGCAGGUCAUUAGGUUAAGACCAUUGUGCGGGUGCUGGGAGCAGCGCUGGCUUACAUUCGCCUGUGCUUUCCUUGCUGCUGAGCAAAUGCAGCCGUGUUUAUAUUACACGCAUUCUCCAGUGUUUUCUGUUCCUCCAGAAAGAAAAGGAUGCAACGCAGACGAAUGGCCCCAUUUCCUGAGAGGGUCAGGCCAGGCUGGACGAUGGCUGAGACUCCCCUCCCGUUAACUGUCUCGUGUCCCGUCUUCUCCACUCUUCCUCACUGCACAUCAAUGCUGUACAAGCAGCCAGCUGUUUCUGAAGGUCUCGGGCCAAGUCUUUGCGGGCUGGGUGGAGCCUCUGGGGGGCCGAACCCAGGGCCCCUCAGGACAGCACCUGAGCCUUGGGGCUUUCCAAACGGCAGGAGUCUGGAAAUGUGUGCAAAACCCUUUCGAGACGUCGGAGACAGCAGAUUACAUUCAGCGAGCACCAAUGUCAAGGGCAGGACGAGGCUCACCACGGAAGUCCCCCUGGAGCCUCGCUCGCAGACCCCGGUCCCUCAUCUCCCGCUCACUUGGAGCCCUCGGCCCCACUCUCUGGCACACGUGAGAAGCAUUACCGAGUGAGCAAGACAGAUGCUCACUGGCCCAGCAGGGCACCUCGGUGGCAGGCAGCCGUAUCUAGAGGCACAUGAGGCUGCGUGUGCUUGUUGUUUAUUUAUUCUCCUCCUGUUUGGAGACUUUCCCUGAUUAAUUACUCUCUAGUCCUCUAGGCUGUUAACUAAUGUCUCAUCUGAUUAACCUGCAGCUUGCCCCGGGUCCCAGAGGGUGGGCUGGCCGUCCCGCCUGGGAACGAAGGAGGUCACUGGCCAGGGGGCCCUGGGAUGCCAGUUUGGGGCUGGUUUAUUUGCUCUGAGUUUUGUUUGCUAUUCCUGCCUCAGCGACUGGAGACAGUUGGCCCCCAUUUCCAUCCUCUCUAAUAGGCCUGCUGAAACGGCAGUGAGCGCAAGAUUUAAGAAAUGUUUUCUUUGAAAACUUCUGGUCCGACAGACACUUUGAGUUCAUGUUUCACCCUGUUUCCAUUGCACACCGUUCCCUGGGACUCUGAGGAGAAAUAUUGUUAAGUGAGUCUUACAGGAGGACGGCUGCUCUGCGGUUGGGGGGGUAGUGGGGGGCGAUGCACUGGAGGUUUUGGGGGAGGCUGGGCGGAGGCAGCCCUCAUCUUCAGAAUCUAGAGACCAUGCCAACGUUAACACAUCCGAGGAGGGAUUCGGUAUCAAAGUCUCUAAUAUUUGGCUCUGUAAACACGAUACCGGUUGCAAAAACAAAGCUAAGGAGCUCCUGCUGAUUACUUCAAUAAAAGCUGUUUAAUUAUGAACGUUUGGGAAAUGAAGUUACCAACAGGACCAGGAGUGCUCCGGCGUCCCAGCGUUCCUGCCCCAGCAUCCCGCUGCGAAGCCAGAUUGUCCACUCAGCUGAAAAGUUUGACAUUGAGCAGGGCGCGCCCUCGGGCCCGCAGGGGACCAGGCAUUGCCAGUAACACUGCUCCCACCGCAGCAGUGGCCGGGAACGGACUCGUGAUGGAGCCGUCAAGCCCGUCAGCACGUCGCAGGCCAGGCCGGCCCAGGGGUCCCUGGGGCAGUGGUCAGAGCUCCCGGGAGACCUGCCCUUGAGAAACAGUUGCUGGUCUUAGGUAGCUCACUGACCUCCCCCCGAGCCAGGGCUGGAUUUGGAGCAGGGAGCCAGUGAUCUGCUGUAACAGGAAGGCUUGGGCGUUUGCAAAUAGGUUUUUUAAAUACAUUUUUAGAAAACAUGAUCUUAUGAAUGCUUCUGCACAUUUCUGCUCUUUCUUGUGCUUUACAGCUAGUUAUUUUAUAUCAAAUGGAAUAAGUAGAAUUAUCCAUAAUAAAAUUUUAAUAAAAAUAUUAGGGUUGAAGCUAUGUAUGCACAGAACAUAUUGUCAAGGAGGGAGGGUUUAAUGCUUAAGAAAAAUAUAUGGGUGUUUUCCCUCUAACAACCAAAGUUCUCAUCUUUUCAUUAUUUAGUUGAAGUCUUUGAACUUACCCAUAUUCAACAACAGGUGAGUACAAACGAAUCGAUUCUUAUCAGCUUUUGGUCAGCUCUGAUGAUUACCUGGGGCAACCCAUUUGCCAAAAGAUCCCUGACCACUAGCUACGUGUGGACGCACAGCUGUAGCCACCUCGUUUCUCGUUUCCAACGAGGGCAGUUGUGAUGGCUGCAGAGUCAUGAUGAGGACGAGGCUAAUAGACAGGACGCAUGUGGAAACAGCGGGAAAUCCUGACGCCUCAGGCCAGCUGUGUGUUUAACGUUUCUGGUCGUCAGUUGCUCUUACGAAGUUGUCCUCAGUGCUGCCCAUAGCUGCUUCACUAUUUUAUGCCGGAUGGUUUAAGUGGGGACUUGAGGACCCAAAUCAAAGGAGGAAGCAACGGAGUUGAGACAACUUCCUGUCCCUGGAGGUCUUGUGUAAAGUAGAAGAGGGCUGUGAACUUUGGAUCCAGAUCCAAAGCUAUGGGUCCCUAGGGCCGGGGAUUUAGCUCAGCGGUUCGGUGGCCUGCCUUGCAAGCGCAGGGACCCGAGUUCAAUCCCCGGUACCAAAAAAACAAAACAAAAAAAACCAAUAAAAUCAAAGCUGUGGAUCCUUGGACAGUGUCACUUUGCAAUUCUGAUUUAGUUUUAUCUCCUACGAGUUAGGAAUCAUAAUACUUGUGCUCAAGUUUUGUGAAGUUUGAAUUUUACAGGUUAGGCACUGGGAAGGUUCCCUUGAGCACUUGAUGUUGUAAAUUCUUCCUUUCUCAGGAGAGUCUCCCUCUGGUGGAACGGGAGUCGUGUUCUGAACUUCGGGGUUACUGGUGUUGGAACUAUCGUAGGGUAGCACACUGUGGCUGUGUGCUGGGAUCUGUGCUGUGAAGACCUCUGUGCUCUUGUGAUGACCAAGUACACUUUUGAUGUUGCUUUCUGUGUUUUUCAGUGGUAAUAUUAUGUGAUAAGGGAGUUUACUCUGAGAAAUCGGCACACACAUUUAAUGUGUCUUAA
Long non-coding RNA from Fukomys damarensis (Damara mole-rat), 9907 nucleotides. RefSeq lists it as uncharacterized. The record is from RefSeq and is a predicted model, not a curated record. NCBI's taxonomy places the organism in Eukaryota, Metazoa, Chordata, Mammalia, Rodentia, Bathyergidae. The transcript is spliced from 2 exons.